This is a non-coding RNA of Osmia lignaria (orchard mason bee), 2417 nucleotides long. Lineage: Eukaryota; Metazoa; Arthropoda; Insecta; Hymenoptera; Megachilidae. The record is from RefSeq and is a predicted model, not a curated record.
GUUUCGCGAUGAUUUACUAGAGCCAACGAAAGAUUUUCACCAGGCGCUAAACGAGGGAGAUAAUUAACGUUUAAAUGAGCGUUUAAUCAACGUCACUUUAGAACAAUAUGAAGCGCUAAGUAUGAGGUACAGUCUAUUCCGGUUUUAAAUGAUAAAUACUUGGAAGGAGAAAUAUCUUUGCCUAUUGGCAAAUGGAAGAUUGGUUCUAGACUACAAAAGCUAGUAGAAACAAUAGACUAAUAAUAUAUAAAUAUCAAUAUCUGUCCUUUUCUUUUCAGAAAAUAGAUCACAUCAUAUUUUUGUACAACACUCUAUAGAAACUCUGUUCAACGUGCAAUUUUCCUAUCACAGGAAAGGCGAGAUUCCAGAGACCACGAAGUCCAAUUAAACAUCCACGUGUUUCUUAAUUAAAGAUCAGCUGGGAAUACAGCACGUAUCCAUUGGAGCGAAGUAAACGAUAUACAAAAGCGACAUUUCGUAGGAUUAAAAGGAGAAGUAACGUUGCGGUUGUCCUCCGUAAAGGAAACAACGUUUUAGCAACCGUCUAAGCCGGUAAAAUUAACCGCAACAGGUGUAAUUUAUACUAGUAAAUUACCGUUUCGAUGUGUGCACUCGGUAUCACGUGAAUGCGUAUAAUUACACGGCACUGUCAGUAUGUACAUUUACGUGCCCGCGAAACUACUCCCAACACACCAAUCAUUGAUCUUUGCCUGCUGGAGGAGAUUGCCGAUAAAACGAUGCUACAAAGUGGAUGUAGAAUAACGGGGAAUAUAUGUUUCGUUUCAUCGGUGCACCAAACUGUAAUCAACGCAAGAUCGUGUCACAUUUUACACGGCAAUCGCGAAGACGUCUGUUGGAGCUCGAUAAAGUAGGACGUUCGAUCCGACAAUGGAAUCGCAAAAGAACGAACCGUAUUGGAGAAUUGCAUUUCCGUUUCACGGGGCGCGGCAAAAGGUGAGUAUACAAUCCAUGAAACGCGAUUUGACGUUGUAUGUCAUCGAGUAUCCCGCUCGUCGCUUGAAAGACCGGCAUUGUUUCAUUAAAAACGACGCCGCAAUCCUAUGCGAGAGGUAUUUCUGCACGAGGUCAGCGAGGAUCUUCGGCCUCUUCUGCUUUCGCAACGACUCGCGACCGACGUCCGCCCACAGGGUCCUCCUUUUCUCGAUCCUGACCUCGUAUGCGAGCUUCAAGCCCGCGUACCUCGUAGACGCUGUCGCGAACGAAUCGUGGCCACGAACAGCAGAGACUAUCGUCCAGUCAAGUUCAAGGAGAAGAACACUCCGGUUCUUCUCUGGCCGAUCGUAUAUAUCUUCGAGGCAUCCGAACGAUUCCCACGAAACUGACGUGAGAAAGGCGCGAAACGAACCUGGAUGAAAUCAUUUUUCAACGGGCAAGAGAGAGAGUGCAUUAUCUUCGUAACGCUGAUUUCAUUCAGACUUUGAAGAAAUUGUAACAGAUAUCGAAGUAAUAAUUUCGCAUAAUUAUAUCGAGCGUUUUUGUUAGGAGAAAUGACAGAUUGACAACGUUACAAGAGAAAUCACUACGGUGAAACUUAAUAUCGGGUAUACAAAGACGAUCGAUGUCGUCGAGUAUGGGGACGUUAAAGCGCAGAAUAACAUCGAUGUAAUGGUGUAAAGUACUGGAGAUAGCCGCGCCGGAUCGUUCCAACUUUGGGCCAGGUUGUAAAUUUCAUAGGAUCUCUGGUGUGUUACGAUAACCGUAUAUAAAAUCAAGGGACAUUAAGUAACGUUACACAAUCGAGGCGCGUCUCGUCACGCAAUAUUUGCAUACCGGUACGAUCGUACUUCCUUCUCGACCGCUGUUUUUGCGAUGACAUAACGCUCUCUCUUCGAGAUACGCGUGUUUUCUCGCGCGCCUAUUUGCCGAGGAAACUCUUCAGCAUCUGUCUGUAGAUUCUUGUCGAGGAAAGGAAAAUAAUCGCGAUAGAGUUAUUAAAAUGUUACGCGAUCGUCGCUCCGCCUUCUUUCAUUCUACUCUUCUCUACCGUUUUUGCGCAAUCGAGCGCUGAAGAUUAUUGCAAAUGCCCGAUUUCCCCGUUCGAUGUUCCCUUUCCUCGCUUCUCGCGAAAAAAUGUAAUUACACGCUGCCGAUAUUGCCUUUCCUGCUGUUCGUUUCUCUCUUCGUUCGUCGCCAUUUUUUUUUGUCUUUUUAAGAAAGAGCAACCACGUAAUUGCACGGUUUGCAUUAAAUUGUUUAUUAACGUGCUACGUGAAUCGUCGAAGGCGACGAUGCUCGCCAAAAGAGAUGUUUCGUGAUUUCGUGCACAAAAGUGGAGUGAAAAUAAAAAUAAAUGGAUGCUGGUAUUGUCUUGAAUUUCGCACAGAUGCUUUUUGUAUGGUUAUGUAAUUGGAAGAAGAAACAUCGACGAUCGAUUUCUGAAACUGGGACGUGUAUGC